Molecule: ribosomal RNA, 253 nt
Filed under: uncultured bacterium
Lineage: Bacteria
Description: partial 16S ribosomal RNA
Rfam family: Bacterial small subunit ribosomal RNA
Source: RNAcentral
UACGUAGGGUGCGAGCGUUAAUCGGAAUUACUGGGCGUAAAGCGUGCGCAGGCGGUUUUGUAAGUCAGAUGUGAAAUCCCCGGGCUCAACCUGGGAACUGCGUUUGAAACUACAAGGCUGGAGUGUAGCAGAGGGGGGUGGAAUUCCACGUGUAGCAGUGAAAUGCGUAGAGAUGUGGAGGAACACCGAUGGCGAAGGCAGCCCCCUGGGAUAACACUGACGCUCAUGCACGAAAGCGUGGGGAGCAAACAGG